GGUGGCAUAGCUCAGUGUUAGAGCAUGUGCUUUGCAUGCAUGAGGUGCUGGGUUAAUACCCAGAACCUUCA
Molecule: transfer RNA, 71 nt
Filed under: Camelus bactrianus (Bactrian camel)
Lineage: Eukaryota; Metazoa; Chordata; Mammalia; Artiodactyla; Camelidae
Also listed under: 2 other names
Rfam family: tRNA
About the family: Transfer RNA (tRNA) molecules are approximately 80 nucleotides in length.
Source: Rfam by way of RNAcentral